Molecule: ribosomal RNA, 294 nt
Filed under: uncultured bacterium
Lineage: Bacteria
Description: partial 16S ribosomal RNA
Rfam family: Bacterial small subunit ribosomal RNA
Source: RNAcentral
UUUCCCUACGGGGGCAGCAGUGAGGAAUAUUGGUCAAUGGGCGCGAGCCUGAACCAGCCAGGUCGCGUGAGGGAGGACGGCCCUACGGGUUGUAAACCUCUUUUGCCGGGGAGCAACGGGCGUCACGUGUGGCGCCACUGAGAGUACCCGGAGAAAAAGCAUCGGCUAACUCCGUGCCAGCAGCCGCGGUAAUACGGAGGAUGCGAGCGUUAUCCGGAUUUAUUGGGUUUAAAGGGUGCGUAGGCGGAUCGUUAAGUCAGUGGUCAAAUUGAGGGGCUCAACCCCUUCUCGCCA